Molecule: ribosomal RNA, 429 nt
Filed under: Actinomycetes bacterium
Lineage: Bacteria; Bacillati; Actinomycetota; Actinomycetes
Description: Actinobacteria bacterium partial 16S ribosomal RNA
Rfam family: Bacterial small subunit ribosomal RNA
Source: RNAcentral
UAGGGAAUCUUCCGCAAUGGGCGAAAGCUUGACGGAGCAACGCCGCGUGAGUGAUGAAGGUCUUCGGAUCGUAAAACUCUGUUAUUAGGGAAGAACAAAUGUGUAAGUAACUAUGCACGUCUUGACGGUACCUAAUCAGAAAGCCACGGCUAACUACGUGCCAGCAGCCGCGGUAAUACGUAGGUGGCAAUCGUUAUCCGGAAUUAUUGGGCGUAAAGCGCGCGUAGGCGGUUUUUUAAGUCUGAUGUGAAAGCCCACGGCUCAACCGUGGCAGGUCAUUGGAAACUGGAAAACUUGAGUGCAGAAGAGGAAAGUGGAAUUCCAUGUGUAGCGGUGAAAUGCGCAGAGAUAUGGAGGAACACCAGUGGCGAAGGCGACUUUCUGGUCUGUAACUGACGCUGAUGUGCGAAAGCGUGGGGAUCAAACAGG